Molecule: ribosomal RNA, 254 nt
Filed under: uncultured bacterium
Lineage: Bacteria
Description: partial 16S ribosomal RNA
Rfam family: Bacterial small subunit ribosomal RNA
Source: RNAcentral
CACGUAGGGGCCAAGCGUUGUCCGGAUUCAUUGGGCGUAAAGAGCUCGUAGGCGGUUCAGUUAGUCGGGUGUGAAAUCUCCGGGCUCAACCCGGAGGGGCCACCCGAUACUGCUGUGACUCGAGUCCGGUAGGGGAGUGGGGAAUUCCUGGUGUAGCGGUGAAAUGCGCAGAUAUCAGGAGGAACACCGGUGGCGAAGGCGCCACUCUGGGCCGGUACUGACGCUGAGGAGCGAAAGCGUGGGUAGCAAACGGG